This 301-nucleotide ribosomal RNA is filed under the name uncultured bacterium. RNAcentral describes it as "partial 16S ribosomal RNA". It matches the Rfam family "Bacterial small subunit ribosomal RNA", at positions 512 to 810 of the family's 1533-position model. The record is from RNAcentral.
CAGCCGCGGUAAUACGUAGGGUGCAAGCGUUAAUCGGAAUUACUGGGCGUAAAGCGUGCGCAGGCGGUUUGUUAAGACAGAUGUGAAAUCCCCGGGCUCAACCUGGGAACUGCAUUUGUGACUGGCAGGCUAGAGUAUGGCAGAGGGGGGUGGAAUUCCGCGUGUAGCAGUGAAAUGCGUAGAUAUGCGGAGGAACACCGAUGGCGAAGGCAGCCACCUGGGCCAAUACUGACGCUCAUGCACGAAAGCGUGGGGAGCAAACAGGAUUAGAUACCCCUGUAGUCCCUGUCUCUUAUACACA